This 408-nucleotide ribosomal RNA is filed under the name uncultured bacterium. RNAcentral's name for it is "partial 16S ribosomal RNA". It matches the Rfam family "Bacterial small subunit ribosomal RNA", at positions 28 to 526 of the family's 1533-position model. The record is from RNAcentral.
GACGAACGCUGGCGGCGUGCCUAAUACAUGCAAGUAGAACGCAGUUGCGAACGGGUGAGUAACGCGUAGGUAACCUGCCUCAUGGCGGGGGAUAACUAUUUGAAACGAGAGCUAAUACCGCAUACUGUGAGCUGGACCUGCGUUGUGUUGGCUAGUUGGUGAGGUAAAGGCUCACCAAGGCGACGAUACAUAGCCGACCUGCAAGGUUGAUCGGCCAAACUGGGACUGGAACACGGCCCAGAAUCCUACGGGAGGCAGCAGUAGGGAAUCAUCGGGAAUGGACGGAAGGCUGACCAAGCAACGCCGCGUGAGUGAAUAAGGUUUUCGGAUCGUAAAGAUCUGUUGUGAGUGAAGCGGUAACUAAACAGAAAGCGCCGGCUAACUACGUGCCAGCAGCCGCGGUAAUUC